AGUGGAAUGGAAAGACUAGUGAAGUUUUGUAUGAAGGACAUGAAAUCAAACAAGAACUAGUUUUGGGCCCUAUAGUGUUGCAGCGUUCUGACUUGGCCCAUAAGCUGAAUGGUCAGAAUAAUGCCAAUGUCAACCAAAUAGACAUGUCCCCAAAACCAGCAAGUAUAAAACGGGAGCCGGCUGAAGAUGACUUACUGCUGGUUGAAGACCUGGGCACGAAUGAGAUGGUGCGGCUUGGCUUGACUCCUGAAACCAUGGGCGCUGACUAUCAAAUCUAUCAAGACAAAUUAACAGCUGAUAUUAAAAAGGAACCCGCUGCGCCCACGUU
Long non-coding RNA from Cydia amplana, 328 nucleotides. RefSeq lists it as uncharacterized. NCBI's taxonomy places the organism in Eukaryota, Metazoa, Arthropoda, Insecta, Lepidoptera, Tortricidae. The record is from RefSeq and is a predicted model, not a curated record. The transcript is spliced from 3 exons.